AGGGCCGGAAUUCCCGCUCAGG
Molecule: unclassified non-coding RNA, 22 nt
Filed under: Mus musculus (house mouse)
Lineage: Eukaryota; Metazoa; Chordata; Mammalia; Rodentia; Muridae
Description: oocyte_clustered_small_RNA10543
Source: RNAcentral